GCGGGGGUUCCCGAGUGGCCUAAGGGGUCAGGCUUAGGACCUGAUGGAUUAGUCCUCCGUGGGUUCGAAUCCCACCCCCCGCACCA
RNAcentral lists this transfer RNA (86 nucleotides) under Candidatus Bathyarchaeota archaeon. RNAcentral's name for it is "tRNA-Leu". It matches the Rfam family "tRNA". From Rfam's summary of the family: Transfer RNA (tRNA) molecules are approximately 80 nucleotides in length. Their secondary structure includes four short double-helical elements and three loops (D, anti-codon, and T loops). Further hydrogen bonds mediate the characteristic L-shaped molecular structure. tRNAs have two regions of fundamental functional importance: the anti-codon, which is responsible for specific mRNA codon recognition, and the 3' end, to which the tRNAs corresponding amino acid is attached (by aminoacyl-tRNA synthetases). tRNAs cope with the degeneracy of the genetic code in two manners: having more than one tRNA (with a specific anti-codon) for a particular amino acid; and 'wobble' base-pairing, i.e. permitting non-standard base-pairing at the 3rd anti-codon position. The record is from RNAcentral. Lineage: Archaea; Thermoproteati; Candidatus Bathyarchaeota. RNAcentral also lists the same sequence under 1 other name.